UGGAAUUUAGCUCAGUUGGUAGAGCCGAGGACGGUAAACCCUCGUGAAAAUUCGGUUCGAGUCCGUAAACGUGAGGUCACGCUUAGCGCAGGUUCAAGUCCUGCAGUUCCAA
This 112-nucleotide transfer RNA is filed under the name Lactococcus sp. DD01. Its description in RNAcentral is "tRNA-Tyr". It matches the Rfam family "tRNA". From Rfam's summary of the family: Transfer RNA (tRNA) molecules are approximately 80 nucleotides in length. Their secondary structure includes four short double-helical elements and three loops (D, anti-codon, and T loops). Further hydrogen bonds mediate the characteristic L-shaped molecular structure. tRNAs have two regions of fundamental functional importance: the anti-codon, which is responsible for specific mRNA codon recognition, and the 3' end, to which the tRNAs corresponding amino acid is attached (by aminoacyl-tRNA synthetases). tRNAs cope with the degeneracy of the genetic code in two manners: having more than one tRNA (with a specific anti-codon) for a particular amino acid; and 'wobble' base-pairing, i.e. permitting non-standard base-pairing at the 3rd anti-codon position. The record is from RNAcentral. Lineage: Bacteria; Bacillati; Bacillota; Bacilli; Lactobacillales; Streptococcaceae.